CAGCCAGCGCUCUCUAGAAUAUCUAGUUUGAAAGAAAACUGAGAAGUGUCACCUCCAGGACGAUGUGACAAUCUGUAUGCAGAACAGGUUAAACAAAAUACUAGGAGAGAAUCCUACAAUUUAAAUAAGGCAUUGAAUGGUUCCAUUUAAGAUAGUUUAGAUGCUAACCUGUUUACAGGACAACUUCAAAACAACUGGGGAUUAACACUGCUCCAUUCCCCUCCCCCAGGCUCAUCUGAAUUCUAAGUAUAGACCCAUGAUGAAAGAUUUCAAAGGCAAUAGCCAUUGCUCCAAAAUAGCCUGGUUAGUAUUUGCAGAGUGGUUCAGCUCUUUUCUCUGUCCUGCCUGUCAAAAAGAUGCCAUUCCUGUGAUUAAAACUAUUACAGUCCUUCAAAGGUUAUACAUGACUUUCAGGCUUCAGCCUCAAUAGCAGCAGAUGGUACUAAUUUGAACACAUCAUUCCAUGCUUCCUGGAGUAAUCACACAGCUUGCUUAGAUUUUCUAAACAUGACUGAACUGUGAUGAAGCGAUCAACAUUCACUGGCAAGCAAAACUGCCUUACAGGGUGAAACACUGUGGUGAAAAUGCCCACAGCAAAGAUUCUUACUUAGAACCAUUAAAUGUAUCCCCAUGUAUGAACUUCUGCUUUGAAGAAGGUGGAAGAGAUGUUUUAAUCCUACUCCUUCCACUAAAUGCAAUUAAAACCACGGACAUUAAAUAUAAUGCAAGCAUAAGAAGACUCUGAAAGAUGGAGAGAAGGCAGAGCAACUAGGGAAAUCAGGACCCAAGAAACAAUACAGUGGCAACUAUAAUGGCUUUUACACUUUCAGCAAUUACUUACUGUUCUCUAAGACUCUGCUCCUGUCCAAUAAUCAAGAUCAUUUUACCUGAUGCUAAAAAACCUGAUGCAGACCAUCUGCCUGGAUUUGAACAUAUUUCCUUCUGCCAGAUUUUGCAUAGCAAUGGUCUGCUACCCACCUACUGGGGAAAUACCUAUCACUCCUUUUGGACCUCUUUGACACUGCCUGUCCUGGCUGCGACAUAUCACCAGCAAUCAGAGUUCAUGGGUAACCUACUCAAGCACUUCCCAUAACUUGCAGAGCAUCAGAUUACCUAGAGAGAUGACUGAAAGUACAGGUUUGGGCAUCACCUCUUUAGGCUAUGAUUCAGCAAGUCUGGGGUGAAGUCCAGGAAUCUGUGGCUUUAAAGGUUGGCAUGUCAUUGAAGAAUUUCACACACACACACACACACACACACACACACACACACUUAAAUUGGGCUUUUAAGAAUGAAUACAAUUCUGUGUGACAUACAAAAGGAAAAGGACAAUAUAACUACAGGAAGUAAAGCAAUUUGAUGGUGAGAAAGUGUUGAGUAUGUUUAAAAUAGAAAAUCUAAUCAAUUAUUAGCCCAUAGCAAGUAGCAAGUGCUUAAUAACUGUUCUUUUAAUUGAAUACAUGAAAUCUAAUGUACUGAAAAAAAAAAACAAAAUUUGGCUAGAGGCAUAGGGUAGAUGAGGAAAUGUAGUGGAGGGACAUAAGAAUGAAAACAUAGACAGAAGCCAGAUUCUAACUGGUGAUAAAUUCUGGGAUGCAUUUUCUAGACAAGAAUAAGUAAAACAUUUGGAGUAUUCUGAGCCAUAUCCUAUACCUUGUGCUUUUCAUUCUUAUCUCUAUGCUUCAAAUACCUGAAUCUGCAUGUCUCACUUUUACCCUCAGAUAAUGAACUUCAACCGCCAACACAUAAAUGCUCUAAACUGUGUAUUUGAAACAAUUCAAAGAAAGUAAGUGGGUACGAAGAAAAGACUGAUGGGCAGACUGGAUGAGCGUGGGUGGUAAGGCUACUUUAGGAUAUUUUUACAGGAAGCAACAACAGGCUGAUGUAAAAUGGGGCAGUCACGUUGGAGAAGAAGGAACAAAUUGGAGAGCCAUGGCAGAGACUGAACUGAUAAGAUCUAAUCAUAUGCAGGAAAAAUGGGAGAAAGUUCACAUAAAAAUAUGAAGCUUGGUAUCCAAAGGAUUACAAAGUACAGGCAUAGAAAAGGGGAAGAGAAGAAUUCAUGUAGCAUAAAUUCCAUUUUGCAGAUAUUGGGGUUGAUACACCAACCAGUUCCUCGGCUAAAAUUUUCGAACAAUUUGCGGGGUGGGGGGGUUAUGGAAAGAAAGAGAAUGAAAUUCAGGAGAAAGUAGAUUGAACUGAUGGACUAAUGUUCUAGAGGAGAUAUGAUACUGAAACAAAAAAAUAAGCAGCUACCUUCCUGAAAAGAAGGCAAUGACAUCCCUGAGAGAGGAUAUCUUGAGAGCAUAAAGAUAUGAGUAAAUAUGAAGGAGGGCAAGUCAGUAUCACUGAUAUUAUUAAGAAAAUCACAUCAAAUAUAGAUGACAGUGUGGGCAGAUUAUGUUCAGAAUGAGAGCAGAAUUCUCCUAUGGAAAAUCAAUAGAGUGUAAACAAACAAAUUGAUAUAGAAGAUUAUGGGGUAGCUAGGAGAGUUAGAGAAGGUGAAGUUAUAGCUGGAAAAGGUAAACCACUUCUGUUUUGUAUAGCACUAUUUAUCAGCCAACAUCUGGUGAAAACAGUGGAAUCCCCUCAGAAUGGGAAAAACCCCUAGAAGAUGAAUCACAAUGGCAUGGUUUGAGAUCUAAGGAGCAAAAGAUAGGUGUUGCUGAGAAGCAUCUAUUCCAGCUGAACAAGAACACUGAAGUCUGACGAAGUGUUGCACUGGAAGGAUGAUAAGGAAAAAAUGUUGAUGAGGAUGUGGAAACCAGGGAGAAGGUACACCAUGUCUUGAAAUUCUGUGGUUUACUACCUCAAGGAUAGAGGAGUGGAGUAAAAUUGGGUGAUGCUGAUUUCAAAAGGAGGAAAGAAUUAGAAGAUGUUUCCAAAAUAAUGGAUCUGGAUGUGCCAGAAGUAAACAAUUAUGCCAUUACCCACAGUCCCUAUAAGGGAGGACUUCCAGGGAAGUAGUACUAUCAGGAAGGAAUCAGACUUACAUUGAUAUGAGCAGGUACAAUAUUGGAGAAGGUAGAAGGAGAAAGGAAAUUAUACGGUAGGUCAGACCACUGUUAGGGAAGACAAGCGUUUUCUUCUUUGUAGACUAGACUUAAUGACCAGAUAUUUUCAUUCAAAUACUAUACAAGACAAGGGCUGAUGUAUAGGAAAAGAAAUCGAUGAAAGAGAGUUUGACACUGCAGCUCUGGAAUUCAGGAAAGCAUCUAGAGUUCCAUAAAAUCAAUUAAAUAAAAAAGAGAUAAAUAUCAAAACAUUUACAUGUUCACUCCAUAUUUUAAUUUAUGAUAAAGAAUAAUUCAGUAAGUUCAUAGUUUGGAUAAUAAGACAUAGAUAUGUGUGGAAACACAGUAGAGCAGAUUUUCUCUCCUUUUCCUCUUUUUAGUCUCCCCAUGUUGUGGAGAUGGAUCAAUAUACUACAUAACCAGUAUUCUGUAACACAUGUCAUAAAAAUGUAUGUGUUACAUUUUAAAAUAUUUCUUUCAUAUCUUUAGAUAAAUGUGCU
Molecule: long non-coding RNA, 3511 nt
Organism: Felis catus (domestic cat)
Lineage: Eukaryota; Metazoa; Chordata; Mammalia; Carnivora; Felidae
Exons: 5
Source: RefSeq, a predicted model, not a curated record